Oryzias latipes (Japanese medaka) is the source of this 1565-nucleotide non-coding RNA. The record is from RefSeq and is a predicted model, not a curated record. Lineage: Eukaryota; Metazoa; Chordata; Actinopteri; Beloniformes; Adrianichthyidae.
CGCUGUUCGUUAGAUUGCUGCCACGGCGUCGGACGGAGACGAGAGCGGGGCAGGAGGAGCGGGAGAAGACGUUCGUCGAAGGGACGCUUUAACGGGAGAGACUCGCCAAAGCUGCACGGCGACAUUUUCAUCCGCAACAGCCCGACUCCACCCCGACCAGACGCGGCUGGCUCCCCCAUGGACGGAUACGGCCGGACCGAAGAUGAGCUCUUCUCCUCCCGCCUCCUCAACCUCACCUGGGAGACUUGCUACGAGCAGGAGCAUUUAUGUGUGAGGCGCCAUGGUUUGGCUCCAUGAUGGAUCUACUCAGGUUGCUGCUGCUUCUUCCCAUGAUGCCUGUUAAACUGCACUCUGACUUGCAUGAUAAUAGCACGCCGCCCUUCUGGACAACAUUUUUAAUGCACAGAGAGUGGAAUUUGUGGAUUUAUGAGCACCGGGCUUAAAAGAUCCUCCUCCUUUUGCAUCUUUAUUUAUUUGUAUCGGCUGCACUCACCUACUCCUCAGUGAUUUCAUUACUAAAUUAAGCGACCUAUAAUCUUACACAGAUAAAUGUGGGAGCAACAGUGUGUGAUGCAGCACCGAAUACUGUGUCCUCUAUACCUGAUGACAUGCAAAGUUUAUCACAAGCAGAGCAGAGACAUGGUCACCUUACCCCGGGCCUCAUUGUGACAGCCAGCAAGUCACUUGAGAGCACCAUCGGAAAUCAAUAAUCCCCCACUCUUUAAUUGUUAGGAAAAAAAAUCUUUGCUGCAUCACAUCAUCAGUCAGGACAACCUGACUUUCAUUUAUUUUUGCAUUUUAUACUCUUACUUAGCCUUUUCUGCCUCUUUGAUAGUUUCUGCUCUGUGAAAUGCACAAGCUGGCUGAUUGUUCUGUAGAUUACUUAAUGGAAACUGUCUGGAUUUUAUUUUAAAGGACCCGGCAUGCAUACAAAAGCGCCUCAUGUUGACUCGGGUGCAUUUGUGUCUUAUCUCGGGGUACGUUUACAUCAAUGUCAGCUCCUCCGCUGUUGUCUUAAGCUAACAGGAGAAGCGCGGCGGUUCCCGCCUGCUUGAUGUUUGCUGAUUCCCAUCAUAUUUUUGUCUUUAGGUCACACAUCAAUUCCCUUCUGAUGCUGAAAUCCCAAAUGUUUUUUUGAGUCAUGAUGCCUUUUAGCUUCUGUUUCUGUGGCACCCUUGAUUCCAGGUUGUGUCAGACAUUUAUGAGGAGUUCAGCUACAUUGAAAAUUUUGUUUUAGUUGUUGAGGGGAGGUAAUCCUCGUCUGAUUUGCUACGUUUCUGAUUAAAGUGCAGUAGAAUAUUCAGGCCCUAACAAAAAAAAAAAUUGGACCUGUAAUUUGACUUUGGGAAACAAAAAAAUACAGUCUACUUCCUUUUUAUGAGUCUAAAUCAAUGGUAAAUGGUGUAUAUUGUUCUUUACUACUUCUUAGGCUGUAAGAAGGUAGUUAGGCACUGAUGGCGGCUCCACUGCCUAACAGCAGCGUCAACCUGUAACCGCCAGGAGACACGGGGUUCAGCGUCUUGCCCAAGGACACUUCUACAUUCGGCAAUGUGGCUAAAGGGAAA